GCCUGGGUGGCUCAGUCAGGUGAGCGACCGACUUCAACUCGGGUCAUGACCUCGCAGUCCGUAGGUUCAAGCCCCGCAUCAGGCU
Molecule: transfer RNA, 85 nt
Filed under: Felis catus (domestic cat)
Lineage: Eukaryota; Metazoa; Chordata; Mammalia; Carnivora; Felidae
Rfam family: tRNA
About the family: Transfer RNA (tRNA) molecules are approximately 80 nucleotides in length. Their secondary structure includes four short double-helical elements and three loops (D, anti-codon, and T loops).
Source: Rfam by way of RNAcentral